CAUUGGCAGAGACAACACAGACUGACAAAGUUGAGGCAUCUCGAGUGUGAGAGACCUAUACCCUCACUCCUCUCAGCUUCAGCCUGUUGCUGCAAUGCCUGGGACUUCUGGCUGUCUGCUGAGGAGAGCAAGUGGCCAACAGCUAGGGCAAGGUGAAGCUUUCUCUGGUGGCCGUGGUUCUACUG
This is a non-coding RNA of Ictidomys tridecemlineatus (thirteen-lined ground squirrel), 185 nucleotides long. NCBI's taxonomy places the organism in Eukaryota, Metazoa, Chordata, Mammalia, Rodentia, Sciuridae. The record is from Rfam.